This 497-nucleotide unclassified non-coding RNA is filed under the name Hevea brasiliensis (rubber tree). Lineage: Eukaryota; Viridiplantae; Streptophyta; Magnoliopsida; Malpighiales; Euphorbiaceae. The record is from RNAcentral.
AAAGAAGUCAUCUAAGAAGAAGAAAAAAAUUGCUGUUAAGGAAGAAGAUGAACCAGAACAAGCUAGCCAAGCGGUUAACCCUGAAGAAGAAGCUGAUGAUGAUGAAAGCAAAAAGCAGCAAAGAGAUGUACCAGAAACUUCUAAGAAUAAAACCAAGAAGAAAAAGGGUGGUCGUACAGUUCAAGAAGAUGAGGAUGAGAUUGACAAGAUUCUAGCAGAACUUGGUGAAGAAGCUGCUCCUGUACCGUCUGAAGAGAAAGUACAUGCUCAGCUGGAGUCAAAAGAUAAUAAAUCUAAGAAGAAAAAGGGUGGCAGAAUGGCUCAAGAGGAGGAUGACAUUGACAAAAUUCUGGCAGAAAUUGGUGAAGGGCCACCAGCUACAUCUGCACCUACUCCUUCUCUUGCACAAGAAGUGAAAGGCCAAUUGCAGCCUCAACUAGGUGAUGCUGCUGCUGAGAAGGAGGCAACUGAAGAAGGAGCUAUGGAGUCUGCUGCUG